GGAUAAGGUAGCUUGAAGCUUUGAAUGAGCUAUCAAACUUAAACCAUGUUUGGUGUGAUUUUUGUCUUUACAUGAUCUCAGAUGACUUGAAGCUAGACAGGCAAUGUUGCAAGUCUGUAAGCAACCUUAGAUUUGCAUAUAGUUGCAUCCCUCAGGCAAACCAUCUAUGAUACCCAGCACUUGGUGUUUCUAAUGUACCACAAACUAAAAUGCAAUUGAG
Molecule: non-coding RNA, 220 nt
Organism: Pelobates cultripes (western spadefoot toad)
Lineage: Eukaryota; Metazoa; Chordata; Amphibia; Anura; Pelobatidae
Source: the annotation of a GenBank genome assembly